Molecule: ribosomal RNA, 1337 nt
Filed under: uncultured bacterium
Lineage: Bacteria
Description: bacterial SSU rRNA
Rfam family: Bacterial small subunit ribosomal RNA
Source: RNAcentral
GACGAACGCUGGCGGCGUGCUUAACACAUGCAAGUCGAACGGAAAGGCCCUUCGGGGUACUCGAGUGGCGAACGGGUGAGUAACACGUGGGUGAUCUGCCCUGCACUUUGGGAUAAGCCUGGGAAACUGGGUCUAAUACCGAAUAGGACCACGCGCUUCAUGGUGUGUGGUGGAAAGCUUUUGCGGUGUGGGAUGGGCCCGCGGCCUAUCAGCUUGUUGGUGGGGUAAUGGCCUACCAAGGCGACGACGGGUAGCCGGCCUGAGAGGGUGACCGGCCACACUGGGACUGAGAUACGGCCCAGACUCCUACGGGAGGCAGCAGUGGGGAAUAUUGCACAAUGGGCGCAAGCCUGAUGCAGCGACGCCGCGUGAGGGAUGACGGCCUUCGGGUUGUAAACCUCUUUCAAUAGGGACGAAGCGCAAGUGACGGUACCUAUAGAAGAAGCACCGGCCAACUACGUGCCAGCAGCCGCGGUAAUACGUAGGGUGCGAGCGUUGUCCGGAAUUACUGGGCGUAAAGAGCUCGUAGGUGGUUUGUCGCGUUGUUCGUGAAAACUCACAGCUUAACUGUGGGCGUGCGGGCGAUACGGGCAGACUAGAGUACUGCAGGGGAGACUGGAAUUCCUGGUGUAGCGGUGGAAUGCGCAGAUAUCAGGAGGAACACCGGUGGCGAAGGCGGGUCUCUGGGCAGUAACUGACGCUGAGGAGCGAAAGCGUGGGGAGCGAACAGGAUUAGAUACCCUGGUAGUCCACGCCGUAAACGGUGGGUACUAGGUGUGGGUUCCUUCCUUGGGAUCCGUGCCGUAGCUAACGCAUUAAGUACCCCGCCUGGGGAGUACGGCCGCAAGGCUAAAACUCAAAGGAAUUGACGGGGGCCCGCACAAGCGGCGGAGCAUGUGGAUUAAUUCGAUGCAACGCGAAGAACCUUACCUGGGUUUGACAUGCACAGGACGCCGGCAGAGAUGUCGGUUCCCUUGUGGCCUGUGUGCAGGUGGUGCAUGGCUGUCGUCAGCUCGUGUCGUGAGAUGUUGGGUUAAGUCCCGCAACGAGCGCAACCCUUGUCCUAUGUUGCCAGCGGGUUAUGCCGGGGACUCGUAGGAGACUGCCGGGGUCAACUCAGAGGAAGGUGGGGAUGACGUCAAGUCAUCAUGCCCCUUAUGUCCAGGGCUUCACACAUGCUACAAUGGCCGGUACAAAGGGCUGCGAUGCCGUGAGGUGGAGCGAAUCCUUUCAAAGCCGGUCUCAGUUCGGAUCGGGGUCUGCAACUCGACCCCGUGAAGUCGGAGUCGCUAGUAAUCGCAGAUCAGCAACGCUGCGGUGAAUACGUUCCCGGGCCU